UUUAAACACCCCAUGAGACGCAAGUAACCUGACUGGUGGGAUGGCUUGUGCCUGCACCAUCGACCGACCAUGAUCUUCUGUGAAAGGUUUGAGUACGAGCAUACCUGUUGGGACCCGAAAGAUGGUGAACUAUGCCUGAGCAGGGCGAAGCCAGAGGAAACUCUGGUGGAGGCUCGUAGAUGUGCUGACGUGCAAAUCGCUUUUCGGACUUGGGUAUAGGGGCGAAAGACUCUAGUAGCUGGUUCCCUCCGAAGUUUCCCCCAGGAUAGCUGGAGCUUGAUCAGUUUUAUCAGGUAAAGCGAAUGAUUAGAGGUACCGGGGAUGAAACAUCCUCGACCUAUUCUCAAACUUUAAAUAGGUAAGACGUCUGGGUUGCUUAAUUGAACCCAGGCAUUCAAUGAGAGCUCCAAGUGGGCCAUUU
Molecule: ribosomal RNA, 421 nt
Filed under: Trebouxia gelatinosa
Lineage: Eukaryota; Viridiplantae; Chlorophyta; Trebouxiophyceae; Trebouxiales; Trebouxiaceae
Description: eukaryotic LSU rRNA
Rfam family: Eukaryotic large subunit ribosomal RNA
Source: RNAcentral